Molecule: long non-coding RNA, 1485 nt
Organism: Oncorhynchus kisutch (coho salmon)
Lineage: Eukaryota; Metazoa; Chordata; Actinopteri; Salmoniformes; Salmonidae
Source: Ensembl
UAAUUCAUUGAGCUGUAAUUAAAGAUAUUUCUUUCCAGUUAUUUACAUAUGUAAUUGUAUUGGUUAGUAUUGAAUUACGCUUUUGACUGCAAGUUCCAGAAUGCCUUGCGACAGGAAUGAGAGUGAGAACGCGCAAGUUAUGUGCUGGUGCAAAGUGAUUAGGCUGACCUUUCCGCUAGCAUCUUACCUGCAUUGCUCUGUAGAAUCUAAAGUUCUUAAAUGUAACGUGAACAAGUAAUAUUACUAAAAGAAGCGUUCAUAUCCACCCCGACGUCCCGAGUCAUUACUUUGAAGACGGUUAUUCUAAAAGUAAUUGCUCUUUUGACCAAUCAGAUAUGCUCUGAAAAAGAGCUGAUGCGAAAAUAUCUAACGUGAUAAUUUUCCAUCAUUAUUCAACAGGCUAAUGGGUCUCCAGUUGUCUAUAUAAGGAGUAUCCUUAUUAAGUUUGGGAAUCAAAGUAAUCACACCUUGUUUUAAGGAAGCCGGAAACUCCCCAUUUUCUAUUGAUUCGUGAAACAUAGCAAGAAUGAAAGGAAUCAAUUUAUCAUUGAAUGCUUUAUAAAACUCGCUUAUUAAACCAUCAUUUCCAGGGGACCUAUUGUCCUUAAUGCUUUUAAUACAGUCUUUUAUCUCAAUUUCAGAUAACUCAUCAUCACAAAAAUCCCUGAAAUCAUUAUCUAUCUUAGCAAUGUUUGCAACACGUCAUGCUCUUAUCAACUGAGCUACGAAGGAGCACGUCGACGUCGCUAGAAUGAUGACAAGCAAUGUUAAGGGAUUCUAAAGGGAAUCAGAAUUCCAAACUAAUUUCUAUGGCAACACAGUUGUCAAUUUUGUAAACAAUCAUUUUCGAACGUGUGUUGCCAAGAGACAUCUAACCGACGUUCUAUGGAACGUUUUCUGUGCGAAAACAACUUUGCUGCUGACAACAAACUUGUUUGAUUUUUGAGACCUGAGAACAAUCGACUGGAAAAUGCCUGGGUGCUUUUCAAGACUGGCGGAGAGAGUGCGUGGACGUCGGCGGCCUACUGCGUCGACAGGUUGUUCAAAUUCAUUUGUGGCUUGUUUUUCUUGUCUUUUUCUGUUUUGCAGGGUUCGUGAUCGUCGACAGGUGGACAGCGACUUCGAAGAGGAAACAACUGUCCUGGAUGAGGUCCAGUUGGAUGUGCCAUUGGAUGAUGUGCUAGAUGUUCCACAGCUGCCAGUCCUCCUUGAUGUCCAGAAUGCUGCUAUCAUCCUUGAGGAUGUGCCAGAUGUGCAGACUAUCCUUGAGGUACAAUUUUCUGAAAGUUUGGGGUUUUAUGUUUGAAAAAUAUCCCAGAUAUUCAAGUUGUCUCUUUAACAUGAAACAAAUCUCUUGUCUGCUUUCUGCUUUAGGAGGCCACUGGCAUUUGGCAGUUGAUUCCGAUUAGGUUCAGCCCCCAGUACUGUGGGCCUGUUGUGAUCAGGGUAAGAGACCCCCCCCCCCCACCCCCCCACCCCCCACAC